GAUCAGUUGGUAGAUCAUGGCACUUGCAAUGCCAGGGUUGUGGGUUCGAUUCCCAC
This is a non-coding RNA of Salmo salar (Atlantic salmon), 56 nucleotides long. Lineage: Eukaryota; Metazoa; Chordata; Actinopteri; Salmoniformes; Salmonidae. The record is from Rfam.